UAGAUGCGAGAGUAGAGCAUAUCAAUAAGCGGAGGAAAAGAAACUAACUAGGAUUCCCUCAGUAACGGCGAGUGAAGCGGGAAGAGCUCAAAUUUGAAAUCUUCAAGGUUCUACCUUGACGAAUUGUAGUUUAAAGAAGUGUUUUCUGUUGGAGUUUUGGUAAAAGUUCUUUGGAAUAGGACAUCAUAGAGGGUGAGAAUCCCGUAUUUGACCAUUAUUUCCAACUUUGUGAUACACUUUCAAAGAGUCGGAUUGUUUGGGAAUGCAGUCCAAAAUGGGUGGUAAAUUUCAUCUAAAGCUAAAUACUGGCGAGAGACCGAUAGCGAACAAGUACCGUGAGGGAAAGAUGAAAAGAACUUUGAAAAGAGAGUUAAACAGUACGUGAAAUUGUCAAAAGGGAAGCGUUUGACACCAGUGUUGUUUAGUUGAAAAUCAAUUCAAUAAUUUUUGAUUUUGAGUAGUAUUGACUUCAUCAGCUUGCUGCUUUCUUUUCGGAAAUUAUUGAAUGCACUUUUCAGUUAACAAGUCAACAUCAAUUUCUUUUGUUGUAAAAGGGUAAGAGGAAGGUGGCUUACGCUUCGGCGUAAGUGUUUAUAGCCUUUUACCUCUGCAAUCGGAGAGAUUGAGGACAGCAGCGUAGACUCUUCGGGGUUAGAUACACUUGUGCUAAGCUAUAGCCUUGUAUAGACAACUUGUUGACUAUGCUCAGUCAUGUAGCUUACUCGCUUGUGCUAUUUUACCUACGCUUAGGAUGUUGACACACGCGCGUGCUCG
Molecule: ribosomal RNA, 774 nt
Filed under: uncultured Neocallimastigales
Lineage: Eukaryota; Fungi; Neocallimastigomycota; Neocallimastigomycetes; Neocallimastigales
Description: partial large subunit ribosomal RNA
Rfam family: Eukaryotic large subunit ribosomal RNA
Source: RNAcentral